GAUGAACGCUGGCGGCGUGCUUAACACAUGCAAGUCGAACGGGAAACCUUUUAUUGAAGCUUCGGCAGAUUUAGCUGGUUUCUAGUGGCGGACGGGUGAGUAACGCGUGGGUAACCUGCCUUAUACAGGGGGAUAACAACCAGAAAUGGUUGCUAAUACCGCAUAAGCGCACAGGACCGCAUGGUCCUGUGUGAAAAACUCCGGUGGUAUAAGAUGGACCCGCGUUGGAUUAGCUAGUUGGCAGGGUAACGGCCUACCAAGGCGACGAUCCAUAGCCGGCCUGAGAGGGUGAACGGCCACAUUGGGACUGAGACACGGCCCAGACUCCUACGGGAGGCAGCAGUGGGGAAUAUUGCACAAUGGGGGAAACCCUGAUGCAGCGACGCCGCGUGAAGGAAGAAGUAUCUCGGUAUGUAAACUUCUAUCAGCAGGGAAGAUAGUGACGGUACCUGACUAAGAAGCCCCGGCUAACUACGUG
This 478-nucleotide ribosomal RNA is filed under the name uncultured bacterium. Its description in RNAcentral is "partial 16S ribosomal RNA". It matches the Rfam family "Bacterial small subunit ribosomal RNA", at positions 28 to 507 of the family's 1533-position model. The record is from RNAcentral.